Molecule: small RNA, 624 nt
Filed under: Pongo abelii (Sumatran orangutan)
Lineage: Eukaryota; Metazoa; Chordata; Mammalia; Primates; Hominidae
Description: processed transcript
Source: RNAcentral
CUUCAAAUUGCUCUCCUGUUAGAGACGAAAUGAGAAUUUAGUGCAGAUGUUUUCACCUCCUGUGAGCAGUGGGAAAAAUGGACCAACUUCUUUGGCAAGUGGACAUUUUACUGGCUCAAAUGUAGAAGACAGAAGUAGCUCAGGGUCCUGGGGGAAUGGAGGACAUCCAAGCCCGUCCAGGAACUAUGGAGAUGGGACUCCCUAUGACCACAUGACCAGCAGGGACCUUGGGUCACAUGACAAUCUCUCUCCACCUUUUGUCAAUUCCAGAAUACAAAGUAAAACAGAAAGGGGCUCAUACUCAUCUUAUGGGAGAGAAUCAAACUUACAGGGUUGCCACCAGCAGAGUCUCCUUGGAGGUGACAUGGAUAUGGGCAACCCAGGAACCCUUUCGCCCACCAAACCUGGUUCCCAGUACUAUCAGUAUUCUAGCAAUAAUCCUCGAAGGAGGCCUCUUCACAGUAGUGCCAUGGAGGUACAGACAAAGAAAGUUCGAAAAGUUCCUCCAGGUUUGCCAUCUUCACAAAUAGAGGAAGCGGGGCAGCCGGCAGCUCCCAGACUGGAGAUGCUCUGGGGAAAGCACUUGCUUCGAUCUAUUCUCCAGAUCACACUAACAACAGCUUU